AUUGAAUGACCACGUGAAAAUGAGGGACCAACUGCGCAAAUGUUCCCUUUAAGCAGAACGCGUGGAUCCUCCUGGGUAAUUGGAUCGGGUCGGAUCAGGCAUGGCCUAUACGGCACUGUUCUGUAGCCCUGGAAACAGGCUUAAAACGACACCAUUUUUGCUCCUUUAUAAAGGCUAAAAUCAGGCCUAUUUGGCCAAAUCAACCCUAGUCCCUUUCUUUCUCAUUUGGCAAACCCUAAAUCCCUUACUUCAACCACCAAUUUACCUCCACAAACAACAACCUGUGCAUUCAAGUUUGAAAGGAUAGUUUUUCAGCCUUGAGAUCCCCUUUCGGUUUCGAUUUCAACGAAGCAAAAGGAAUCUAUUGGCAUAUUCGCAAGGUAAGAGUUCUCUUUCUCUUUUUUCCUUUGUUUACAAACGCAAUGAUGAAAGAUCAAAGGAAAUAAAUCGCAAGAAAAUGAAAAAACUUAAAGAAAAUUAAAACAGAAAUCACCUUUAAAAUCUUUGUUGGUUUUCUUUGUAUUCAAUUUGCAUUCGUAAUCCCAUUUACAGUAUAUAAUCGGCCUUUUUAUAGCCAAACCAAGAGAAAAGGGAAAAGGGAAAAAAAUAAUAAAAAUGUAAAUACAAAUUUUCUUUUUCUAUUAUUGAUUUGCUGUGUUAUUUUGUUCUUCUCGCAGGUUCUAUGGAUGCAGGAGGUGCUGUACGGAGGAAGAGGCCCUGGUGACGUGGAGGUCGUGCGUGGGAAACCACUCGUGGGAGCCCGAUCCCCUGGCUGGCUGCGACGCUAGCAUGUUCCAAAAACCUUUGGGGUUUCUGGUACUUUCAAACUGUUGGGCCCCUUUUGGCCAUUUGGGAUUGUUUUAGCAGUGGGCUGUUGUAAACUGGGUUAAGGAUUAAGUUGGAGGGCUUUGGGUGUAAUGGGAUUUUGGGUUAGGGUCUAGGCCAAUAAUUUUAGGCUUUAUUUUGGGGUUUCAAUUGGGUCUCGAUUAAUAUUUUGUAUUUUCGGACUGUGAACAUUUUAUUGUUUUUGGGUUUUUUUAUUUUUUUUGUUUUAUUUUAGCUUUGGUUCUGGUAUAAGCCCGGGCGAAAUGGGCCUAUUGCACUCUCAAAAUCAACACCAUGUUGAAGCAUAAAAGACUCGGCCAAGGUGUGGUAUUUGCAAUUUCUACAACAUUCCAUUAUGAGUUUCGAGCAGUCGGUGGACUUAUUUAUGAGUAGGUUACAAUCUCCUGCUUAUCUCAUAUCCAUCAAGAAGUGCAAGGAUAAACCUUUAAGAGAUCUUGUGAAAAGGUUUAAUGCAGCAACUAUGGUUGCAAAAGAUGUCCCUUAAGAAUUCAUUGUUCAAGCUUUCAUGUUUGGAACAAUUCACCAAUUUUUGAAAUAUAACUUAAUUGAUAAGUCCCUAGCCAACUUAUUAGCAUUAUACAAGAAGACUCAUGUCUUCGUUGAAAAUGAUGAAUUAGAAAAAACUAAGUUGCAAGUGCAGCGAACUAGUGCACUAACCUUAGGAAACUACCAUUAUUCUCAAAGAAGUAGACCCCUAUUGCAUGAUAGAGUUGGGAGAACUUGCUCUUAACAUUUGUACUUGCGGGGGAGAGGGGGAUGGAGGGUAACAGGGAUAUCUUUCCAGUGACUCUCGAGGCUACCAAUGAUAGAUUAGGACAGAUAGAUUAGGACAGAUAGAGGUUAUCAACAAAGUCAGUGAGGACAACAA
RNAcentral lists this long non-coding RNA (1714 nucleotides) under Gossypium barbadense (sea-island cotton). Its description in RNAcentral is "long non-coding RNA (GBAR_LNC006005)". The record is from RNAcentral. Lineage: Eukaryota; Viridiplantae; Streptophyta; Magnoliopsida; Malvales; Malvaceae.